Cyprinus carpio carpio is the source of this 626-nucleotide long non-coding RNA. The record is from Ensembl. NCBI's taxonomy places the organism in Eukaryota, Metazoa, Chordata, Actinopteri, Cypriniformes, Cyprinidae.
UGUGACAGAGCCGCAGCGAUGACCUAGAGCCUCUUCCCUCCAACCACCUAAACCACAUUCUGACACAGAGACAGCAGAGAAGUGGGAGUGCUGUCGCUUGCGGCGGGCAGGAGACCAGCGAUCUGCCACGCCAAACCGGGCACCUCCACCAGAGCACCCGAGGGGUCGGGUGAGUCAAAGGUCCCGUCACGGCGGCCCGCAGGAACAUCCCUGACUUCCUGUUUCUGGAGGUGGUGGGGCGGCAGGAGGUGGACUGGAGGAGCGGUGAGACGGCUGCACACACAUUUACUGUGAGAAUGUCCGGGGGGAGUGCGGAGCAGACAGCCAGGCGAAGACCACUGUCACGUAGCCAACUUUCACCAUCUAUGAGAGGGAGAGACCUUCCCGUCCACCACGGCCCACGCAAUAUUUGCCAGUAAAUUACUGACGCAGCAGAAGCAUGUAUGUGUGAGUGUCACACCACCAUGGACUCUGUUUGUGUUUCCCGCUCCUUGUUGGUUGUCAAGAUUGUUAAUUUGAUUUCAUCAUUAUGUUCCGGUGUGUGUCUCAUUAUCGUGUGUAUUUAAGUUCAGUUCUGUGUUGCUCUUAUUGUCCGGUGUCGUCAGUUUUUAGAUGUGUUGUAGCUG